This 1068-nucleotide long non-coding RNA is filed under the name Ananas comosus (pineapple). RNAcentral describes it as "long non-coding RNA (ACOM_LNC033597)". Lineage: Eukaryota; Viridiplantae; Streptophyta; Magnoliopsida; Poales; Bromeliaceae. The record is from RNAcentral.
CCCUAAUGAAAUUCGGAAUGCUAAUCCCUUAAAUAAAACAACAACAAUAGAAAUAGAUCAUUCGGAUUUCCAUUUGAAGCCUCAAAUCUUUCAAUAUCUUAAAUUCGUUAAAAUAAAAAAUUAGCUUAAAUUUUAAAGUCAAUUAUCGUUGACCGAUUCAAAUCAAAUAAAUUGAAAAAUUGCACAAAAGAAAUAAAAAUUUUGAAAUUUUGAAUAGUCGACUUGAAAUGGUUCAUAAUUAAAAUAAGUUAUGUAAGGAGGGGGCGGGAAGGGUCUGGGCCCUUUGGGGGUUUUAUAUUUCGAGAGAAAUUUGUAAAUAUUGUUCUCCUUCAUCCUAUUGGUGCGUUUGGUUCGCGCUAUCUUUUAAAAAUUCCUAGUAAUCCAAUAAGAAUGAAAAAAUAUGACGGUGUUUGGCUAAACGCACUAAGUAAUCUAGUUGGUAAUAUUGGAUUCACUUGGGAAUAAGAUUCACCCCAAAGUACUAAUCUCAUUCCCUUGAGGGAGGGUGGGUAUCCUCAUAUUAAUGGAUUGGGGUAAUCAUAAUAUGUCUAAUCUCUUUCUUUCUUCCUACCCGCCGGCUAAUUGAUAUUAUUUUUCUUUACACUCUAACCUUAUAUCUCUCUCUAAACUUAUUUUUCUCUUUAAAAUUCAACUUUUUUUUCUCUCUCUAAACUAAGCUUUCUCUCUCUCUCUCUUUCUAAAAUUUCAACUCUCUCACUCCGUCUAAUUUCGACUAUAUUUUUCUUUCUAUUUUUUUAAUUAUGCUCUUUCUCUAACUUAUACUCUCUCUCCCUUUUUCUAAAGAGAUGUUGAAACUUUUGGUAACAUUAUCUAAAAUUAAUUAAAUAAAUAAAUUAAUUAAUUGUAUAAUUUUUGUAAUAUUAAAUAACAUGGCUAAUUAAUAUUAUCGUGUGAACCAAACACAGUAAUUCCACAUUCUUAGUAAUAAGAUUCUCGGAUAUCUUUUAUUCCUAGUAAUUUUUUAUAAUGCGAACCAAACGCACCCUAAAAGCAAUAUUUUAUUAUUGUCUUAUCAUUUUUUUAAUAUUAAAAUCUAAAGAUUUGUGA